CCCCGGUUGGUGCAGUGGUUAGUACAUUGUCUUUGCCUACUGUCGCCCUCUGUGGUGCAGUCCCCGACUAACUCCUGCGGAAUGUCGCGGAGCGUCGAGGCAAAGACAAAGGUCACGAGUUCGAAUCUUGUACCGGGGA
Non-coding RNA from Fusarium proliferatum ET1, 139 nucleotides. Lineage: Eukaryota; Fungi; Ascomycota; Sordariomycetes; Hypocreales; Nectriaceae. The record is from the annotation of a RefSeq genome assembly.